This is a long non-coding RNA of Alosa alosa (allis shad), 1095 nucleotides long. RefSeq lists it as uncharacterized. NCBI's taxonomy places the organism in Eukaryota, Metazoa, Chordata, Actinopteri, Clupeiformes, Clupeidae. The record is from RefSeq and is a predicted model, not a curated record. The transcript has 6 exons.
GACUUUAGGACCCAGGAGCGAGUAGCAAGGGCUUAAAGGCUGAGGUGUCCAUAGGGGCGGGUUCUUGUGUUUUCAGUCAGCUGCUUAGCCAGGGAAACGGAGUGGAGUGGAACCGCGAUUACAGAUGAGUGUUGGUGGCCAGUGUGAUGGCGUUCCGUAUGUUGAAGGGUUUGUGCGCAGUCACCAGUAAUUGAAUCACGGAAGCGUCUCUGGAUUUAACGCCGAAUGGGCGUGUAACUAGAAUAUCUCGAUAUCCGCUGGGAACUCUCUCUCACUCUCGCGGCCAGACUGUGCUGGUGUUACAGGGUGUUUGUAUACUGUAAUUGCUGCCGUGUGCUUGGGCGGAUGGCCUAGCCAAACCCGUUGUUAUACCAGGUCCCGUGCGCCCCGUCAUACGUGUGCACUGGCUUCUGUGCGCUCCGGCGUCUGUGUGUGUCUGUUCACACGAGGUUAUUAGAAGCCUUUUGUGAAUGAACCCCGUCUCUCGUUUUGUUUACUUUGUUUGGACAUCCAGCCACUGUUUUCUCAUGUAUGAAACUUAUGUAUGUUUUUAUCAUUCAUUGAUACCAUGCCUAUGAACUUAUAGGGUUAAUGUCAAGCUCUUCCGGUCAUUAAUCUUUUACCAUUGAGAUAAAUUGUUGUGUUUGGGCAGUGUGCAAUAUUACGGGGGACAGGGGAAAGUGCCAGCUUUCGCUGAUCAUCAUAGUAGCACUCACGCACUUUACUUGUUCUCAAAUUUAAGUGGCCAUUGCUUGGGUUCUCGUAGCUAGUGGGCGGAGCUCAAUGCUCAAUGUAUUAAGGUGACCACUGUGUGGUGUGAUUAGAAUUUGUGUGUACUAACAAAGCACUUUAUGGUUAAUGCAGUGUAGCCUUGGUUGCUGUCUUUGGUGUGUUGAAUCCUUUUGGAGCCUUGUGCUCAUGAUGAACUAAAUGUGGAUUUCCUGUCAACAUUGAGUACUGUGGUCCGGCCCAAUAUUUAGUGUAAAUAUCUCCUAUGAAGGCUUGUCUACGAGAACUCAUGUAUGUGUCCAUGAUGUGUUACUACCAUUAAUGUUGUUCCUGUACGAAGCACCUAUUUUAAUAACUCUGCAGACC